GAAAAAAAAAGUGAACUUUUCAUGGCAAACUCUAGAACACCACAGCUGGCAAUGACCAAACUAAGGUAGAAUCAAGGAGAGGCAGAUCAUAGCAUGUGGUCUCUUGAUUCCUGAAAUGGAAGAUCAGGUGAGAAUUCUCCACCUCCUGCAUCAGGUGCCCACCUAGCCUCAGCUGAGGAGGAAGAGAGCGGACUGGAGAUCUGAACAAGGGAGCUCACUACCCACAUGGCUACCAUCUUGAAGCCAGACACUGACAGGGAGUCCAUUUUAUCUCUGCACAAAAUUCACUUUAGCCUGUUGCCAGACUCCCUCUGGGGCAGUAAAUGCAGAAAGGAGAAGCUGAGGGACUCCUGGAUGAGCCAUCCCCAGAGAGCUUCUUUCAACUGAAUCUAACAUGGGCUGGCACUACAGGGCUCCCAGGAACCAGACUCUACUGCCUACAUAAAGCCCAUAUGCCAACAUGUUGCCUUCUUUCAGCAAAGAUGAUCGGUUCUCGGAAAUCAGGAAUGUCAGAGGGUGAGAAGAUGCAAGAACUUAUAACUGCA
This 545-nucleotide long non-coding RNA is filed under the name Saimiri boliviensis boliviensis (Bolivian squirrel monkey). Its description in RNAcentral is "lncRNA (ENSSBOG00000036702.1)". The record is from RNAcentral. Lineage: Eukaryota; Metazoa; Chordata; Mammalia; Primates; Cebidae.